RNAcentral lists this ribosomal RNA (1436 nucleotides) under uncultured methanogenic archaeon. RNAcentral describes it as "bacterial SSU rRNA". It matches the Rfam family "Bacterial small subunit ribosomal RNA". The record is from RNAcentral. Lineage: Archaea; Methanobacteriati; Methanobacteriota.
UGCAAGUCGUACGCGUUGGCCCAACUGAUUUGAAGUGCUUGCACGGAUCUGACGUUGGUUUACCAACGAGUGGCGGACGGGUGAGUAACACGUAGGUAACCUGCCCAGAAGCGGGGGACAACACUUGGAAACAGGUGCUAAUACCGCAUAACAAUUCAAAUCGCAUGAUUUGAAUUUAAAAGAUGGUUUCGGCUAUCACUUCUGGAUGGACCUGCGGCGCAUUAGCUUGUUGGUGGGGUAACGGCCUACCAAGGCAGUGAUGCGUAGCCGAGUUGAGAGACUGAUCGGCCACAAUGGGACUGAGACACGGCCCAUACUCCUACGGGAGGCAGCAGUAGGGAAUCUUCCACAAUGGGCGCAAGCCUGAUGGAGCAACACCGCGUGAGUGAAGAAGGUUUUCGGAUCGUAAAGCUCUGUUGUUGAAGAAGAACGUGCAUGAGAGUAACUGUUCAUGCAGUGACGGCAUUCAACCAGAAAGUCACGGCUAACUACGUGCCAGCAGCCGCGGUAAUACGUAGGUGGCAAGCGUUAUCCGGAUUUAUUGGGCGUAAAGAGAGUGCAGGCGGUUUCUUAAGUCUGAUGUGAAAGCCUUCGGCUCAACCGAAGAAGUGCAUCGGAAACUGGGAAACUUGAGUACAGAAGAGGGCAGUGGAACUCCAUGUGUAGCGGUGGAAUGCGUAGAUAUAUGGAAGAACACCAGUGGCGAAGGCGGCUGCCUGGUCUGUAACUGACGCUGAGACUCGAAAGCAUGGGUAGCGAACAGGAUUAGAUACCCUGGUAGUCCAUGCCGUAAACGAUGAGUGCUAGGUGUUGGAGGGUUUCCGCCCUUCAGUGCCGGAGCUAACGCAUUAAGCACUCCGCCUGGGGAGUACGACCGCAAGGUUGAAACUCAAAGGAAUUGACGGGGGCCCGCACAAGCGGUGGAGCAUGUGGUUUAAUUCGAAGCUACGCGAAGAACCUUACCAGGUCUUGACAUCUUGCGCCAACCCUAGAGAUAGGGCGUUUCCUUCGGGAACGCAAUGACAGGUGGUGCAUGGUCGUCGUCAGCUCGUGUCGUGAGAUGUUGGGUUAAGUCCCGCAACGAGCGCAACCCUUGUUACUAGUUGCCAGCAUUAAGUUGGGCACUCUAGUGAGACUGCCGGUGACAAACCGGAGGAAGGUGGGGACGACGUCAGAUCAUCAUGCCCCUUAUGACCUGGGCUACACACGUGCUACAAUGGACGGUACAACGAGCAGCGAACUCGCGAGGGCAAGCAAAUCUCUUAAAACCGUUCUCAGUUCGGAUUGCAGGCUGCAACUCGCCUGCAUGAAGUCGGAAUCGCUAGUAAUCGCGGAUCAGCAUGCCGCGGUGAAUACGUUCCCGGGCCUUGUACACACCGCCCGUCACACCAUGAGAGUUUGUAACACCCAAAGUCGGUGGGGUAACCUUUGGAGCC